GUCUGUGGGAAGAGAGAAGUUUCUGCUCUUAGCUGCGCCCCUACCCCCUUCCUCCCAGGAAUGUUGGAGGCAGCCACGAUCUCAUCAAGAGAAGGUUACUUGACUGGGAGUUCUCAGACCUCCAGUUUCAGCCCUGCCCUCAGCCUCCAGUCGUUGAGAGAGAGACACCCAGCCCCAGCAAUCGGAUUGGGCAGCCCGCCUUGACACACCACUGUGCUGAGUGCUUGAAGACGUGUUUCACCAGAUGGUUGGGGUUAGCGUGUGUCAUCACAUUCGAGUGGGGAUUAGGAGUAGGAAGGCUGCCUUGCCGGAGCUGUGUGGUCUUCUCCAAGGGAGAAUUGCGGGCAAGAGAACUCCUUUGCUCCGGGGAGAAGAGGAGGAAUUCGUUUUCCGCAGCCACGAGAAAAGCAGUGUUUUCAGUGUUCAGAUACCUGUGGUGCUUAAGAAUUCCUGCUCCUAUUGGACUUUCAAACUGAGUAGAGAAACCCAACACCCUCACCCUUGACAGGAAUCCAGAGAGCAGGAAUUCUGAUACUGAGUACUGAGAUUUUACCAACUGUUGCCAUGUGGAUGAGGCCAACCAAUGGGUCAGCCAAACUGCCAUCAAAUCCCGUGAGUCCUUCCUGUAAAGCAUCACUCACAUCUGGCCCACAGCUACUGCUCCAGUGCAAUGAUCCCUCACACGUGGGUCAUUACAACAACCUCCUAACGGGUCCUCUUGCCUCCACUUCCCUUCUGUCCACCAGUUGUCGUUGAGC
Molecule: long non-coding RNA, 758 nt
Organism: Bos taurus (domestic cattle)
Lineage: Eukaryota; Metazoa; Chordata; Mammalia; Artiodactyla; Bovidae
Source: Ensembl